CUCACGCUUCAAACUUAACUCCCCCUCCCAGUCACUGCGCUUUUUCUCUCUAUUUUUUGUUGUGUUUGGCCAUUUCGACUACAAUUUUCGAAUCAGACACAUCUUUUCGUAAAAUUUCUGGUUUCUGGGAUCCGACGAUCAUUUCUCCUUCUGCCUUAUACUUGUCGCUCAAGAUCAACGAUGUUGUUAGCUAUGAUGAUACUGAUGAUGGCUUCUUACACUUCGGCCUUUCUUGAGAUCGUAGACAUAAGACCUUCUGAGAAUAUUAAUUUAGGAAACACCACUGGCAUAACUAUAAUAUGUCGGUAUGAUUUAAGAUAUUUUAUUCACUUUUAUCUCGUGCGAAACGGGGAUGAUGUCAUUUUCCAAAUGAAUUAUUCUUCGAGGGAAAAAAAGUCUAAGGUAGUAAUCAAGCGAAAGGGUUUCCACUGUACUCCAAUUCAUAGUCGUAGAGGUCAGGUUACCUGCUGGAAACUUCAUCUCACUUGCGAGGAUGCGGCAUACUAUACAUGUCGAUCAAAUGAAGAAGUUUCGCAAUCUAGGCGUAUAAAAGUGAGACCUUACGUAAGUAGACUGCAAGUUCUUAACCCACCCAUUGAAGUGGGAAAGACAUUAAUCUUAAGAUGUACAGCCUAUGUCGGUGAAGAUUUUGGUAUUGCUACCUUUGUAUGGUUUGAAAUAACACGCCUUGGAGUAAGUCUAUUGAUGAGACCCGUACACGUUCCACCCCGUGGCAAGUGUUACAAAUCAGUAGUGUCAAGUUAUCGCUAUACUUUAAAAAGAUGGGACGCUGAUACAGCAAACAUCACAUGUUUUCUGAAUGGCAAAACUCUCACUAAACAACUUAUCCCAACAGGAUGGAAACAGAGAGAAAUUGGACAAAAUAAUGCAGAUAAAUUGUGUGGUGCGAAUACUAUUACGAAAUUUUUUAUAUUCGCAACUUACCUGGUUUUUAUUGGGAUUUGUCGUUAAAGAACUAAAAACAGAAUGAAACCAAGAUGUAGACCACUAUUGCUGAUGAGGUUGUUGAAGAUACUCUUGCCCACAUGGCUGUCCACUGCACUGAGGGGAUCAUCCAAAAGUCUGAUCACCUCCAGGAAGAAUGUCAAGGUCAUGCGUCAGUGAGCAGAAGUCAAUGACCUGUUGAUAAGCUUUAGCAUCACAUUUCUUUCCAAAUAAAAUGUUGUCUUUGAUGGUUG
Octopus bimaculoides (California two-spot octopus) is the source of this 1199-nucleotide unclassified non-coding RNA. NCBI's taxonomy places the organism in Eukaryota, Metazoa, Mollusca, Cephalopoda, Octopoda, Octopodidae. The record is from RefSeq and is a predicted model, not a curated record.